GACGAACGCUGGCGGCGUGCCUAAUACAUGCAAGUAGAACGCACAGUUUAUACCGUAGCUUGCUCCACCAUAGACUGUGAGUUGCGAACGGGUGAGUAACGCGUAGGUAACCUGCCUGGUAGCGGGGGAUAACUAUUGGAAACGAUAGCUAAUACCGCAUAAUAUUGAUUAUUGCAUGAUAAUUGAUUGAAAGAUGCUAUUGCAUCACUACCAGAUGGACCUGCGUUGUAUUAGCUAGUAGGUGAGGUAACGGCUCACCUAGGCGACGAUACAUAGCCGACCUGAGAGGGUGAUCGGCCACACUGGGACUGAGACACGGCCCAGACGCCUAAGGGAGGCAGCAGUAGGGAAUCUUCGGCAAUGGACGAAAGUCUGACCGAGCAACGCCGCGUGAGUGAAGAAGGGUUUCGGAUCGUAAAGCUCUGUUGUAAGAGAAGAACGGGUGUGAGAGUGGAAAGUUCACACUGUGACGGUAUCUUACCAGAAAGGGACGGCUAACUACGUG
Molecule: ribosomal RNA, 505 nt
Filed under: uncultured bacterium
Lineage: Bacteria
Description: partial 16S ribosomal RNA
Rfam family: Bacterial small subunit ribosomal RNA
Source: RNAcentral